CCAGCAGCCGCGGUAAUUCCAGCUCCAAUAGCGUAUAUUAAAGUUGUUGCAGUUAAAAAGCUCGUAGUUGGAUUUGUGGUGUGUCCAGUCGGCCUUUGCUCUUUGAGUGAUUGCGCUGUACUGGUCUGCCAUGUUUGGGUGGAAUCUGUGUGGCAUUAAGUUGUCGUGCAGGGGAUGCCCAUCGUUUACUGUGAAAAAAUUAGAGUGUUCAAAGCAGGCUUAUGCCGUUGAAUAUAUUAGCAUGGAAUAAUGAUAUAGGACCUUGGUACUAUUUUGUUGGUUUGCGCACUAAGGUAAUGAUUAAGAGGGACAGUUGGGGGUAUUUGUAUUCCAUUGUCAGAGGUGAAAUUCUUGGAUUUUUGGAAGACAAACUACUGCGAAAGCAUUUACCAAGGAUGUUUUCGUUAAUCAAGAACGAAAGU
This 422-nucleotide ribosomal RNA is filed under the name Pseudo-nitzschia multiseries. Its description in RNAcentral is "SSU rRNA". It matches the Rfam family "Eukaryotic small subunit ribosomal RNA", at positions 567 to 990 of the family's 1831-position model. The record is from RNAcentral. Lineage: Eukaryota; Bacillariophyta; Bacillariophyceae; Bacillariales; Bacillariaceae.